RNAcentral lists this long non-coding RNA (956 nucleotides) under Homo sapiens (human). RNAcentral's name for it is "HSALNT0407640". Lineage: Eukaryota; Metazoa; Chordata; Mammalia; Primates; Hominidae. The record is from RNAcentral.
GGCCGCCACUAGCAAACAACCUCAGCUUCAUAAAUCCAGCAGAAAGGUCCGGGGUAUUGUUGAAAAGGUCGGAAGGACCAAGAUUAUGUCCGCCAGCCUAAGUGGGACGAACAACCAAGUUGUGCGAUGCAGCUUUAAAGGGGCUGGUGAUUGACAGAAUGGUGUAGUAGUAGAUGGGGUGGAGCCGCUGGGUGGGGUCGAGACUGGCAGCUGAGAGAUACCAAAAGGAAGAAAAAAGAAAACCAUUGCUCUUGAUAUUGCUAAUGCCGGGGGAGGUAAGCUAACGAGAAAGUAGGGAAAAGGAAGGUUUUAGAGUUCACCUCCACUCCUUCCCCUGGCUAACACUCUUUACACUCUUCUGCCUUCCCUUGAGAUAAUUAAAAUAGACUGUACACCGGCCCUAGUCGGUGCCCAUUCCCCCUAACUCUUCACUCAACUACGUGUGUAGUCCGAGGGAGUGAGGACCCCGGGUCCAAGAGCUCAAUCCCGGCCCCGCCCCGUCGGCCCAGGCCCCGGGGCUGGGAGGAGAGGAUGCCUUCGGAGGCGCAGAAUCCGAAAAGAUGUGGUUGGAGCUGGAAGCUGUUAUCCUCAGCAAACUAAUGCAGGAGGAGAAAACCAAAUACUGCAAGUUCUCACUUAUAAGUGGGAACUGAAUGAUGAGAACAUUUGGACAUGAAGCUGGGCAGAGAAAUCGAGCUGCAAAAUGACCUACAGAUAUUACAGUUUUAUUCUUGGAAAAUGGAGGUUGUCUAUUAGUGUGAUGGUAACAACCAACUAAUAAAAUUUGGAGACUAGACUGCUUGUCAUGUCUGGGGUUCACUGGAAAUCAAUGAUUCACUGGAACAAUUCUCCUGUCAAAAAAAAUGUGAGGUUUGUAACUUGCCCUAAGUAUAACAAGGGAUAUAUUUUAACAAAGGAUGUAUUUUUUCUUAAGAAGCAACCAUUUCUCAGCUUAU